GAGUAAGUCCUAUACAACGUUCAGUUACCCAACCAUGUCAGGUCCGGAAGGAAGCAGCAUCCGGUAAUAUGAACGUGUGAUAUAGCAAGCUUACUCUCU
RNAcentral lists this signal recognition particle RNA (99 nucleotides) under Chlorobiaceae bacterium. RNAcentral's name for it is "signal recognition particle sRNA small type". It matches the Rfam family "Bacterial small signal recognition particle RNA". Rfam says of the family: The signal recognition particle (SRP) is a universally conserved ribonucleoprotein involved in the co-translational targeting of proteins to membranes. Archaeal SRP consists of a 7S RNA and homologues of the eukaryotic SRP19 and SRP54 proteins. In most bacteria, the SRP consists of a 4.5S RNA and the Ffh protein (a homologue of the eukaryotic SRP54 protein). Lineage: Bacteria; Pseudomonadati; Chlorobiota; Chlorobiia; Chlorobiales; Chlorobiaceae. The record is from RNAcentral.